Boleophthalmus pectinirostris (great blue-spotted mudskipper) is the source of this 578-nucleotide long non-coding RNA. RefSeq lists it as uncharacterized. The record is from RefSeq and is a predicted model, not a curated record. The transcript has 2 exons. NCBI's taxonomy places the organism in Eukaryota, Metazoa, Chordata, Actinopteri, Gobiiformes, Gobiidae.
CUCUGAUCUGACCAAGAUUUAAAAACGUCUGUCAGGUUUUUCAUGUUGUUUUCAGGUGUGGCCACCGAGGGGUUAACGCUCCGAGAAAUGUUAAGUUUUAUAAUGAGUUACUGCAACAACACCACCCCAAAUCUAGUUUGGGGAAAUACAGUGUAAAUAUGAGGCACACAGGUGAGCACAUCACUGAGGGAAAGGGAGCAAGGACCAUCAAUUUGCAACACCUUCCAUUGCUCAUUAAUGAUCUUAAAUAAGCAGCAACCCACAGAAAACAAAGACACAGGAUAAAGACAUAGCGCCACACAGAGGCCGGAGGUGCAUUUGGACGCUACAGUAGUUUCUUGUCUUUCCUGGAGUAUUUUUGCUCCUGUAUUUGUACUUUUACUGAAGUACUGAGUACUUCCACUGUGUCUUUAUACACUUCCUUGAGGACGGGUCAAACGCAGACGUCUCUGUGGGGACAAUAAAAUGGACCUGAUCUUUAGUAAACGUGUCAUUUUAAAUCUGUGUUUGUUUUUCAGGUGUUUGGACAAAAUGGAGUCGAGUGAGAAUCCUGCAAACACAAAUCCCUCUGCUCCAAG